Molecule: ribosomal RNA, 492 nt
Filed under: uncultured bacterium
Lineage: Bacteria
Description: partial 16S ribosomal RNA
Rfam family: Bacterial small subunit ribosomal RNA
Source: RNAcentral
AGUGAACGCUGGCGGUAGGCCUAACACAUGCAAGUCGAACGGCAGCACAGUAAGAGCUUGCUCUUACGGGUGGCGAGUGGCGGACGGGUGAGGAAUACAUCGGAAUCUACUUUUUCGUGGGGGAUAACGUAGGGAAACUUACGCUAAUACCGCAUACGACCUACGGGUGAAAGCAGGGGAUCUUCGGACCUUGCGCGAUUGAAUGAGCCGAUGUCGGAUUAGCUAGUUGGCGGGGUAAAGGCCCACCAAGGCGACGAUCCGUAGCUGGUCUGAGAGGAUGAUCAGCCACACUGGAGCUUGGACACGGUCCAUGCUCCUACGGGAGGCAGCAGUGGGGAAUAUUGGACAAUGGGCGGAAGCCUGAUCCAGCCAUACCGCGUGGGUGGAGGAGGCCUUCGGGUUGUGAAGCCCUUUUGUUGGGAAAGAAAAGCAGCAGGUUAAUACCCCGCUGUUCUGACGGUACCCAAAGAAUAAGCACCGGCUAACUUCGUG